RNAcentral lists this transfer RNA (67 nucleotides) under Paroligoneurus sp. QL-2014. Its description in RNAcentral is "tRNA-Gly". The record is from RNAcentral. Lineage: Eukaryota; Metazoa; Arthropoda; Insecta; Hymenoptera; Braconidae.
AUUAAUAUAAUAUAAUAAAGUAUGUUUAAUUUCCAAUUAAAUAGUUUAAUUAAUUUUAAUGUUAAUA